Molecule: ribosomal RNA, 239 nt
Filed under: uncultured bacterium
Lineage: Bacteria
Description: partial 16S ribosomal RNA
Rfam family: Bacterial small subunit ribosomal RNA
Source: RNAcentral
CGAGUGGCGGACGGGUGAGUAAUGUCUGGGAAACUGCCCGAUGGAGGGGGAUAACUACUGGAAACGGUAGCUAAUACCGCAUAACGUCGCAAGACCAAAGAGGGGGACCUUAGGGCCUCUUGCCAUCGGAUGUGCCCAGAUGGGAUUAGCUAGUAGGUGGGGUAACGGCUCACCUAGGCGACGAUCCCUAGCUGGUCUGAGAGGAUGACCAGCCACACUGGAACUGAGACACGGUCCAA